This is a non-coding RNA of Podarcis lilfordi (Lilford's wall lizard), 68 nucleotides long. NCBI's taxonomy places the organism in Eukaryota, Metazoa, Chordata, Lepidosauria, Squamata, Lacertidae. The record is from the annotation of a GenBank genome assembly.
GCGUGGCUCAGGGGUGGAGCACCUGCUUUGCAUGCAGAAGGUCCCGGGUUCAAACCUUGGCAUCUCCA